UGGGAAUAUUGCACAAUGGGCGAAAGCCUGAUGCAGCAACGCCGCGUGAGUGAUGAAGGCCUUCGGGUUGUAAAGCUCUGUCUUUUGGGACGAUAAUGACGGUACCAAAGGAGGAAGCCACGGCUAACUACGUGCCAGCAGCCGCGGUAAUACGUAGGUGGCAAGCGUUGUCCGGAUUUACUGGGCGUAAAGGAUGCGUAGGCGGAUUUUUAAGUGAGAUGUGAGAUACCCGGGCUUAACUUGGGUGCUGCAUUUCAAACUGGGAAUCUAGAGUGCGGGAGAGGAGAAUGGAAUUCCUAGUGUAGCGGUGAAAUGCGUAGAGAUUAGGAAGAACACCAGUGGCGAAGGCGAUUCUCUGGACCGUAACUGACGCUGAGGCGUGAAAGCGUGGGUAGCAAACAGGAUUAGAUACCCUGGUAGUCCACGCCGUAAACGAUGAGUACUAGGUGUAGGAGGUAUCGACCCCUUCUGUGCCGCAGUUAACACAAUAAGUACUCCGCCUGGGAAGUACGAUCGCAAGAUUAAAAACUCAAAGGAAUUGAC
Molecule: ribosomal RNA, 543 nt
Filed under: uncultured bacterium
Lineage: Bacteria
Description: partial 16S ribosomal RNA
Rfam family: Bacterial small subunit ribosomal RNA
Source: RNAcentral